GUGAGGAAUAUUGCGCAAUGGAGGCAACUCUGACGCAGCCAUGCCGCGUGCAGGAAGAAGGCGCUACGCGUUGUAAACUGCUUUUAACCGGGAAGAAACCCCGGGACGUGUCCUGGGUUGACGGUACCGGAGGAAUAAGCACCGGCUAACUUCGUGCCAGCAGCCGCGGUAAUACGAAGGGUGCAAGCGUUAUCCGGAUUCAUUGGGUUUAAAGGGUGCGUAGGCGGAGCGUUAAGUCAGUGGUGAAAUCCUGCAGCUUAACUGUAGACUUGCCAUUGAUACUGGCGCUCUUGAGUGCGCUUGAAGUGGGCGGAAUGUGCCGUGUAGCGGUGAAAUGCUUAGAUAUGGCACAGAACACCAAUUGCGAAGGCAGCUCACUAAGGCGAUACUGACGCUGAGGCACGAAAGCGUGGGGAUCGAACAGGAUUAGAUACCCUAGUAGUCC
Molecule: ribosomal RNA, 445 nt
Filed under: uncultured bacterium
Lineage: Bacteria
Description: partial 16S ribosomal RNA
Rfam family: Bacterial small subunit ribosomal RNA
Source: RNAcentral